UAUGUGAUCGUCUCUCGCAUAUCAAUAAGCGGAGGAAAAGAAACUAACAAGGAUUCCCCUAGUAACGGCGAGUGAAGCGGGAAGAGCUCAAAUUUGAAAUCUUAAAGGGUUUCCCUUUACGAAUUGUAGUUUAAAGAAGUGUUUUCUGUCGAGGUUUUGGUAAAAGUUCUUUGGAAUAGGACAUCAUAGAGGGUGAGAAUCCCGUAUUUGACCUUUACUUUCAACUUUGUGAUACACUUUCAAAGAGUCGGAUUGUUUGGGAAUGCAGUCCAAAAUGGGUGGUAAAUUUCAUCUAAAGCUAAAUAUUGGCGAGAGACCGAUAGCGAACAAGUACCGUGAGGGAAAGAUGAAAGGAACUUUGAAAAGAGAGUUAAACAGUACGUGAAAUUGUCAAAAGGGAAGCGUUUGACACCAGUGUUGUUUUUCUGAAAAUCAAUUAAAGAACUGUUUAUGCUAAGUUGUUUAGACUUUAUCAGCUAACUGUUUAGUUUUGAGCUUUUCUUUAAUGCACUUUUCAGUUAACAAGUCAACAUCAAUUUCUUUUGCUGUAAAAAAGCUUGAGGAAGGUGGCUUGAGAUUCGUCUUAAGUGUUUAUAGCCUCUUGCCUAUGCAGUCGGAGAGAUUGAGGUCUGCAGCGUAGAUCCUUCGGGGCUAAAUGCAUUUGUGCUAAGUUAUAGCAUUUUAUAGACAACUUGUUGACUAUGAUUUGUCUUGUAGCUUACUCGCUUAUGUUAUUUUACCUACGCUUAGGAUGUUGAUCUACAGAGCGAGAGU
Molecule: ribosomal RNA, 774 nt
Filed under: uncultured Neocallimastigales
Lineage: Eukaryota; Fungi; Neocallimastigomycota; Neocallimastigomycetes; Neocallimastigales
Description: partial large subunit ribosomal RNA
Rfam family: Eukaryotic large subunit ribosomal RNA
Source: RNAcentral